AGGGACCAACAUGACUGGUCAGAAUUGACAGAGAUGGAUGGAAAUGCCAUAUUUUCGUUGGUGGAAGAAAACUGCAAGAGGAUUUUGCUGAGUGAGCUGAAAAGAUAUAAAAGGAUGCUCUUUCCACAUCUAUUACAAUUCUCUGAAAGUGAGAAGCAGGAAAGAGACAGUUUGACUACUGAAGAUAAAAAGCAAGACAGCAGUGCCAGUGAGGGCGCUCUGAAGAUUGCACUACAUGUCUUAAAUAAAAUGGACCAAAGAGAACUUGCUAACACACUGGAGAAGCACAUUUAUGGUGAGCUUGAUGUCUGCCAGCGCAA
Molecule: non-coding RNA, 320 nt
Organism: Plectropomus leopardus (leopard coralgrouper)
Lineage: Eukaryota; Metazoa; Chordata; Actinopteri; Perciformes; Serranidae
Source: RefSeq, a predicted model, not a curated record